CCCCUAGAUGUUCUGGGCCGCACGCGCGCUACACUGAACAGUUCAACAAGUCUUAACCUUGGCCGAUAGGUCUGGGUAAUCUUUGAACGCUGUUCGUGAUUGGGAUAGACCUUUGCAAUUAUGGGUCUUCAACGAGGAAUUCCUAGUAAACGCAAGUCAUCAGCUUGCAUUGAUUACGUCCCUGCCCUUUGUACACACCGCCCGUCGCACCUACCGAUUGAACGGUCCGGUGAAAUCUCGGGACGGCGGCUUGGUCGCUUGCGUCCGACUGCUGAAACUUGAUUAAACCAUAUCAUUUAGAGGAAGGUGGAGUCGUAACA
RNAcentral lists this ribosomal RNA (320 nucleotides) under uncultured eukaryote. RNAcentral describes it as "partial 18S ribosomal RNA". It matches the Rfam family "Eukaryotic small subunit ribosomal RNA", at positions 1470 to 1796 of the family's 1831-position model. The record is from RNAcentral.